This 253-nucleotide ribosomal RNA is filed under the name uncultured bacterium. RNAcentral describes it as "partial 16S ribosomal RNA". It matches the Rfam family "Bacterial small subunit ribosomal RNA", at positions 524 to 776 of the family's 1533-position model. The record is from RNAcentral.
UACGUAGGGCGCAAGCGUUGUCCGGAAUUAUUGGGCGUAAAGAGCUCGUAGGCGGUUUGUCGCGUCUGCUGUGAAAACCUAAGGCUCAACCUUGGGCUUGCAGUGGGUACGGGCAGACUAGAGUGCGGUAGGGGUGACUGGUAUUCCUGGUGUAGCGGUGGAAUGCGCAGAUAUCAGGAGGAACACCGAUGGCGAAGGCAGGUCACUGGGCCGCAACUGACGCUGAGGAGCGAAAGCUAGGGGAGCGAACGGG